AUAAUUAAAUAAAUAAUUAAUUAAUCUUUUGUUUUAAAUCAUCAGUAUGGUAGGCAAGCGCUUGACACAAUUCUGAAGCAAAUAGUAGGACACGAUGAGGGAUUAAUUCCUUUUCCAGAUGAUAAGUUCCAUGAAAAGGUUAAAGAAGGCCUAGCUGGAGUUGGAAUGCUAUCAACAAUGAGCAGCUAUAGGCGACCAACUUAUACAGUUGAAAAAGGCUGUAGUGAGGUUUCAGUAUUUUUGAACCGGAUUCUCGGACUUGAAGUUGAGCUACAAAACCAACUAUUUCAGCACUUUAUGGACACGUUGGAUGCGAUCAUUGACAAUGUAAAAAGAGAUGGCAAAUGGGAUAUGGGAA
Molecule: long non-coding RNA, 358 nt
Organism: Anneissia japonica
Lineage: Eukaryota; Metazoa; Echinodermata; Crinoidea; Comatulida; Comatulidae
Exons: 3
Source: RefSeq, a predicted model, not a curated record